UACGUAGGGGGCAAGCGUUAUCCGGAUUUACUGGGUGUAAAGGGAGCGUAGACGGCAUGGCAAGUCAGAUGUGAAAGCCCGGGGCUCAACCCCGGGACUGCAUUUGAAACUGUCAGGCUGGAGUGCAGGAGAGGUAAGCGGAAUUCCUAGUGUAGCGGUGAAAUGCGUAGAUAUUAGGAGGAACACCAGUGGCGAAGGCGGCUUACUGGACUGUAACUGACGUUGAGGCUCGAAAGCGUGGGGAGCAAAUAGG
This 253-nucleotide ribosomal RNA is filed under the name uncultured bacterium. RNAcentral describes it as "partial 16S ribosomal RNA". It matches the Rfam family "Bacterial small subunit ribosomal RNA", at positions 524 to 776 of the family's 1533-position model. The record is from RNAcentral.